This 4044-nucleotide long non-coding RNA is filed under the name Nicotiana benthamiana. RNAcentral describes it as "long non-coding RNA (NBEN_LNC014912)". The record is from RNAcentral. Lineage: Eukaryota; Viridiplantae; Streptophyta; Magnoliopsida; Solanales; Solanaceae.
CUGUUUGUUCUUCAGAUACUUGUUGAGGUUGGAUCAUUAGUUUGAGCAAUCGAGGUGCUAUUUUACCGAGGCUUCAACCGUUGUUCGCUAGAGCUUUACCGGUGAGCUAAAUAUUCUCAUUUGAGUUUUGUUUAUUUUGAGAAGAUGUGUUAAGCAAUGUAUGUUUGUUGAAAUCAAACUUAUCCUUUUACAUGUUACAGAUCUGAAUAGAUAUGCAAGGACUACUUAAUCGGUGCUGCCAUCGUUUUGAGUCAAUUGGUUUCGACUGGUGAUCAUCGAUUGGAGAUUGAAAUCAGCUAACGUGUUGGUUUAUCUAAGGUUAUAAUAGUUUAAUUUGAUAUCUAUAGUUAUUUCAAUGGCUCAUGUGCAUUAGUUUUUCAUUUUAUGCAUGCAUAUGUAAGAGAGGAUGAAAGAUUGAGCGUCUUUGUGUGAGAUAUCUGAGGAAAAAGUGAGGUAUUUAUUGUUCAUGUUACCACCAGGCCUUUGCUAUGUUGGGUGCGCUCACAUGGCAGGUCAAAAGUACCUAAUAAAAGUAUUUAUUUUGGGUGUUGUUGAGGAGACGGCACGGGGUUUUGCCCGGCUCUCCUCUCUUCGCGUGUCUGUGUUCUUUUUUAUUUUUUCCUGUUCUUUCCUUGCUCCUGCGUUCAACAACUUUGCGACGAUCAGUGGUUACCUGUCAUUGAAUAGGCCUUGUGAUUACUGUUGUGUAUUUUGAGGCGAGGCCUGUUCAAGGACAAGUAACUCAUGUUGAUUUUCUCACCACGAUGAUGGACACAAGCAACGUUUCUACUGCAGCACGGCACUAGAGGUACAAUAUCAAUUCUCUUAGUUUAAGUUAACUUUCACUUUUUUCAUAACAUUUAUCAAUUUUAAAUUAACUGCCUUAAUUAUAACGCGUGCACCAGUACUCAUAGAGAAACUCCCAGAUAGCAAUUCUGGAAAUAUUUAAAAAAGCUGAAAUGGUCACGUGUUGGACUUUUAUGUCAAGCACUAUGGAAGUUACUUUAGGAUAUAUUUUGGCACCCGGUUAAUAGGCUUGUGAACUUGCCAUUUUUGUUAAUCCAGAGCACCUCAUAAUAUUCCCAUGAAGCGGUUUAAUAAAUUUAUGCUCAUAAAUAGGACCCCUGAUGCAUGGUGUUCCAUGAAAAUGGUAAUUACACCUUUAUUGGUAAUGGUAAGCUUAUGUAUAUGAAAAUGGAAUGAAUUCUUAGUGGCGACUGGUCAUGGAGCAUAAAAUUAGAUUUGGUAUUGCAAAGUUGUAUCUAAACUGUGUAUUAUUCUCUAAUAAGGUUCAAUCUCAUUUAUAACCCUAAAGUUUCCCAGAUAUUCAACAGACUAUAAUCAAUGUUGAUAUUGGUGUUAGUAAUUGAUUUAUUUAACUAUAUGGUGGAUAAAAUAGCGAAAUCGAACAAGCUGUCUUAUGAAAUGUUGCGGAAAACCAUGGUGUUGCCAUUACAAAAGCUCGUGAAACCAUUUUCUUUAAUUCUGCAUAUUCAACUUAAUUCAGGAUUCUACUUUUAUAUAUACUCUUUGUUUACUUGGUAAAUAAUAUUGAGUUAUUUAGUGUUCAUUACUUAUUGUUUUUAAGUAGUCAUACCUUCUUCGGCAAGAGUCUAGUUGGAGCUUAGCUGUGUUCUCCUGAUCUAUGAUGUAAUAGAUUCAUUCCAAUGGAAGUUCUUUGUUAUGGUACCCCUGUUGUAGUUUUUUGGGAGGGGUACCUUGUGUAGGCAGGUUUGGAACUUUGACCUUAAAAACAAUUGUGUAUUCUGGUGGCUUUGCAUUUGUGCUGACUGGUGCUGAAGUUGAUAACUUGUGUUGCGCUUCCUGCACGAGGUAAUUUUCUCCGGGAUACGUCACUUUGGUGAGGAAUUUGUGAGACUCUUAAGGGUGUUGCUGUUGCUGGUUUGAAUCUAUGGUUUUCAUUAUGUUUUCAAGCUAUGCUUUUGCAUAAUCAGCAAGUCUUGGCAUCGGUUGGUUUUACAAACCAUUUCAUCCAAGAUGAAGUGUUGACGGAAGAUGUUAGAGCUUGUUGCUGUUGCUGGUUUGGAUCUGUGGUUUUCAUUAUGUUUUCGAGCUGUGCUUUUGUGUAAUCUGCGAAAGUAUCAACACCAGUUGGUUUUGCAAGCAGGUUCAUCCAAGAUGAAGUGUUGACCGAAGAUGUCAAGUCUGUAUAUCCCAAAGAAUGUAAAGAAGCGUAUUUUCUGUGCCUUCACUAAUUUCUGAAUGGAAAAGUUAAUCUAGCUCGUUUGAAGAGUUGGUAUGGUAUGGUAUUUCUUUUUGGAAGUAUUUUCUCAGGAAAACCUUGUAGCAAGCAACUGAUAUAGUCUCGAACUGUGUUGUGUGCUUUCUGGCAUUCUGAGGUAAUUCAUUUGGUUUCAAUUGCCAAGACAGUAUUAUUUUCUGCACAUCUAUUAUGUGGUGGAAUUUAUUCAGGCACCCAGUGCUCUUGCACAUUUAUAAAAUAUCGUUGUCCUGUUGGAUCUCAUUAUUAAGUAUAGGUUUUUUUGUAAAACUUAUUUUAAUUUAUUCUGGUUUUUGAUAUUUGUGAGCUUAUUUAAAUUGCUUUUCUCCUGCAGGGCAUGAAAUAAUUAAAUUGCCUCCUCCUAACCGGACCGUUGCUCAUGUUUGUAAUAGUGUGGACAAUUAACAGUUUUUACACAGGCGGUCUGCUGCGCCGGUUCGACCGUCCAGUCAGAAGUCUUUGUAGUAUAGAGGUACAGUUUGGCGAGACCGCCCCUUGAUAAUUUGGUUUCAGAUUGGCUUUGUAUUUAUUAGUAGAAGAGAACUUGCAUGCAGGAUAGUGUUGCAAUAUUUCUUGACGGAUUAUGGUUGGGUUUUGUGCUUGUCUUGGCAGUACAUGUUUAUCUUUUUAACAAAUUAUUAAACUCGAGGAUUGUUUAGAUUAUAUUAUUAUUAUUGAUUCACUGUGCGCCCUGUCAUUGUUGGGGUGCACUAAAUUAGAGUAGCUUCGUGUAAACACCAUGGGUCAUUGGAUGGUCCUAAAAUAAGUCUUUAUGUUAAUGUUAAUGCAUUUCUUCUAAUUCUCACCUCUAACAGAUUAGCGAUAAAACACUCUUCCUAUUUCUCAACACUAAAUCAAGGUGAAGAUUUCUCCUAUUCAUCUUAUAUAAUUAUAAAAACAAUAUAUUUAAUAUAAUUUAAUUGUAAUGUCAUAAAUUGCUGUCUUGGAUGGAUGGAUCUAAGAGCUCGGUUUUUGGUUGAGCGCUCGAUGCCAUUGCAUUCGAGAGGUCGGUGGUUCGAAUCUACCUGGAUCCCUAAUUUGAACUGGUACAAUACUCCAACUAAGCUAUAUCAUCAGCUACAAGUACAUAUACUUUGACACUAGCUCUGCCACUGGAUCACGUACCUUUUAAUGAAAUUAUAUAAUAUUAUGUUUCUUUCCCUUGAUGAAGUUAUUGUAUUACUCAUUUGAAAUAUAUCUCCUACUGCGAGUAAUUGAGAUGGCGGAACUAACAUUUCAAUCCUUAAUCUUCUUACAGGUUGCUAUUUUGCGUAUGGUUGGUAACACCUAAAACUCAACUAGAGUGAGUGUUGCUACUUCAUCAAAUUUUCGUGAUUACGGUAACAUGUUUGGGGCUCAAAACUCAAAAGUACUAAAAUAUUGAGUUGGAAGUACAAAGAGAUGGAAUUAAUAACAUUUUUAAAUGUCUAGUAAAGUAAUAUUCAUAGUGUGGCAUUAAUUUUAAUCUUCAUAUUUCUCGAUUGAGUUGUUAUUAGGUAUUGCUUUCUAAGCUAGUAUUCUAACAGCUCGUUUUUUAAUUCUCUGAUGAUAUAAGCUUAGUUGGAGUAUUGUUGUUGUAGCUGGCACAAAAUGAAUAGCAGUUCCAUUUUCUUGGAGGUAUAGUACUAUAGUUGCAUUAGGAAAGAAGGUGCUGUAAGGAUUAGUAUUCCUAGCUCACAAUUAUAUAGUAAUAGUUACAUCUCUAAUUUUUUAGUGUACUAUAUAGCUGAGAAAAUUACAAUUUUAAAUCUAAUUAUAAUAUCUUUCACGUAUAAAUGUAACAAAGUACACAUUUUCCAUUU